AUGAAGUAGUAGAAGAUGAAGUUGUUGAAGAAGCAGACGAUAAUCAGCCUUCCAUAGAUGAAGAUGAACCAAAUCACGAUAACCCAGUUCCCGCUCCGCGGAAGUCGGCAAGACAGAGAAAGGUUCCAGAAUGGACCAAGGACUAUGUUAUGAUGACACAAGGUCAACCAGAACCAGACUGGCUACGUAGAGCCAACUUUGUAAAAGAGAUGAUGAAGGAUGGAUUAUUACAGAGUGUGGACUCUAAUUUGUGCCAGAUGACUCUUUUAAAUAUUGUGUCAUCAUCUCAGUAAUGUGUUUUUAAUAUUUGUACAUAUCUGUUAUUUUAUGCCGUAAACUUCACCGUUGAAUGACGUGGACGUCAUUCUGCAACCAGGGGGAGGUUGUAGUAGUGUGGAAUAUAUUUAAUAAAUAAAUGUUUUAAAUUAAAUGUAAAUAAAUUAAACUACCAUAAUAGAUAAAAUGUUGGAUCCACCCCUUUAUUUCCCUAGCCCUACCUGUAAACUUGUACACCUGUAUAUAGAUAAUUAGUUACCUUAGGGCAGGUCAGAGGUUUUGGUGUUUUAUUGGUUUUCAUUGGUAGUUUGUUUAUAAAGUUGGAUCUCAUUGGUUUUAUUCUUUUGGUCAUUGGUUUUACCGCCAAAAUAUUCAUUCUUUGUCUUGUUGAGAGAUUACCAAGACUUCAUUUUAUGGACUCUCUCAUGACCUUGACUUGGAGACUGACUUUUUUUCCACUUUUGAAUCCAUAUACAUGUUUAUGACAUCAUACAUACAUGUGGUAAUUAAAGCCUUUUCCCACAGAAUGGGCUAUGUUAAUAUAUACUGCUCACUGUGUCAAUAAAAUAGACCUGAACCUGACAGAGGCGUGC
This is a long non-coding RNA of Saccostrea echinata, 869 nucleotides long. RefSeq lists it as uncharacterized. The transcript has 3 exons. The record is from RefSeq and is a predicted model, not a curated record. NCBI's taxonomy places the organism in Eukaryota, Metazoa, Mollusca, Bivalvia, Ostreida, Ostreidae.